UACGUAGGGUGCGAGCGUUGUCCGGAAUUACUGGGCGUAAAGAGCUCGUAGGUGGUUUGUCGCGUUGUUCGUGAAAACUCACAGCUCAACUGUGGGCGUGCGGGCGAUACGGGCAGACUGGAGUACUGCAGGGGAGACUGGAAUUCCUGGUGUAGCGGUGGAAUGCGCAGAUAUCGGGAGGAACACCAAUGGCGAAGGCAGCUUGCUGGGACGGUACUGACGCUGAGGCGCGAAAGCGUGGGGAGCAAACAGGG
RNAcentral lists this ribosomal RNA (254 nucleotides) under uncultured bacterium. RNAcentral describes it as "partial 16S ribosomal RNA". It matches the Rfam family "Bacterial small subunit ribosomal RNA", at positions 524 to 777 of the family's 1533-position model. The record is from RNAcentral.